This 29-nucleotide small RNA is filed under the name Bombyx mori (domestic silkworm). Its description in RNAcentral is "piRNA piR-bmo-1554869". The record is from RNAcentral. Lineage: Eukaryota; Metazoa; Arthropoda; Insecta; Lepidoptera; Bombycidae.
UCCAAAAAGCUAACGAUCCACUUGCAGAG